Molecule: ribosomal RNA, 706 nt
Filed under: soil fungal sp. DM2-380
Lineage: Eukaryota; Fungi
Description: eukaryotic LSU rRNA
Rfam family: Eukaryotic large subunit ribosomal RNA
Source: RNAcentral
UUGUAAUUUGCAGAGGGUGCUUUGGUGUCGGCCGUGGUCUAAGUUCCUUGGAACAGGACGUCACAGAGGGUGAGAAUCCCGUACGUGGCCGCCGGUCUUCACCGUGUAAAGCCCCUUCGACGAGUCGAGUUGUUUGGGAAUGCAGCUCUAAAUGGGAGAUACAUUUCUUCUAAAGCUAAAUAUUGGCCAGAGACCGAUAGCGCACAAGUAGAGUGAUCGAAAGAUGAAAAGCACUUUGGAAAGAGAGUCAAAAAGCACGUGAAAUUGUUGAAAGGGAAGCGCUUGCAGCCAGACGUGCCCGCAGUUGCUCACCUGGGCUCUCGCCCGGGGCAUUCUUCUGCGGGCAGGCCAGCAUCAGUUCGGGCGGUUGGAUAAAGGCCUCUAUCACGUAUCUUCCUUCGGGAUGACCUUAUAGGGGAGGCGCAACACGACCAGCCUGAACUGAGGACCGCGCAUCAGCUAGGAUGCUGGCGUAAUGGCUGUAAGCGGCCCGUCUUGAAACACGGACCAAGGAGUCUAACAUCUAUGCGAGUGUUUGGGUGUAAAGCCCGGGCGCGCAAUGAAAGUGAACGGAGGUGGGAACCCCUCGGGGUGCACCAUCGACCGAUCCUGAAGUCUUCGGAUGGAUUUGAGUAAGAGCAUAGCUGUUGGGACCCGAAAGAUGGUGAACUAUGCCUGAAUAGGGUGAAGCCAGGGGAAACCCUGG